UUUCCGUAGGUGAACCUGCGGAAGGAUCAUUACCUAGAGUUGUAGGCUUUGCCUGCUAUCUCUUACCCAUGUCUUUUGAGUACCUUACGUUUCCUCGGCGGGUCCGCCCGCCGAUUGGACAAUUUAAACCAUUUGCAGUUGCAAUCAGCGUCUGAAAAAACUUAAUAGUUACAACUUUCAACAACGGAUCUCUUGGUUCUGGCAUCGAUGAAGAACGCAGCGAAAUGCGAUAAGUAGUGUGAAUUGCAGAAUUCAGUGAAUCAUCGAAUCUUUGAACGCACAUUGCGCCCCUUGGUAUUCCAUGGGGCAUGCCUGUUCGAGCGUCAUUUGUACCUUCAAGCUCUGCUUGGUGUUGGGUGUUUGUCUCGCCUCUGCGUGUAGACUCGCCUCAAAACAAUUGGCAGCCGGCGUAUUGAUUUCGGAGCGCAGUACAUCUCGCGCUUUGCACUCAUAACGACGACGUCCAAAAGUACAUUUUUACACUCUUGACCUCGGAUCAGGUAGGGAUACCCGCUGAACUUAAGCAUAUCAAUAAGCGG
This 539-nucleotide ribosomal RNA is filed under the name Phoma sp. RNAcentral describes it as "eukaryotic LSU rRNA". The stretch from base 173 to 326 matches the Rfam family "5.8S ribosomal RNA". The record is from RNAcentral. Lineage: Eukaryota; Fungi; Ascomycota; Dothideomycetes; Pleosporales; Didymellaceae.